AAAGUUUUUCUAUAGUACACAUAAAGAGUUUUGAAAACAGAUUUCAAAAGAAACACUGCCACCUUUAUCCUAUUAUGUUCAUGCAGUCUGUACUUUGAGAAGAUUCUCACCUUCCUUUGGGUGAAUAAGUGUUGACAAUGUCAAAAUCGUUACAAAAGUGAGCCCUUAAUGAGCUUCAAGUUGAUUUUUUUUUUUUUUCAGGACCGAGAUGACAUUUGCAGAACCUACAGCAUAGUGAAGAUAGAAUGACUUCUGGCCCUCUCUCUGAGGUACUUUUCAAGGUGUAAUGAACAGAAAGCAGCUCUGCAAAGGGAGCAGCAAUAGCUGCUUGAUCCAACAAUGUUUUCUACAAGAACAUCCAUCCCAGGAACACAGCAGAACUGACAACAUAUCAUCUCUAUGACUGCUAAUCCAGCUUCUGGCUUAAACUGGGCUGCUGUCAUCAGCACACAUGGGGCUGGUACAUAGAAGAAUUUUCUGGAGUAUUCAACCAAAGCUGGUCUGCAAUCCAGCAGGUUUGGGACAGGCAGCACACCCAGCGUGGACUCCUGCAGUGAUUCCCUGCAGGUAACAGAGCCUCCUGAGGCUGCUGUACCAGAGGGAACUUGUCAUAUUUGUUGGCAGCCCAGGCAUUGAUGGAGCACAAUGCUGACAGUCACCUUCCUCAUCUCUGGUCUCAUUGAGUCAUGUGGAACAAGGUAUCGUCAACACAACAUAAAUGACAAAGUAUCAUGCAGUAUCAACCAGCAGCAGCCAGAAAGGUGAGUGGUGAGUCAAAAUCUCUUUUUACUACUACAGAUUCACUGCUGCUUCGGUCCCCUUAAUUUUUUUCCUCAAUUUCUGAAGCCUGUGAUCCAGAGGAGUUUUAGUUCUUUUGUUUGCUGUGGAGGACCUAAGUGCUGAGGAAUUAGCUCUGAGGCAAUACCUGAACAUGAGUUCUACUUCCCACAGUACACCUAGAAUAGACAAGGUGGGUGCCAUCAUUUGCUGCUGGCAUAGAAUAAAUUACUCCUUUCUAUAAGCUCA
This 1026-nucleotide long non-coding RNA is filed under the name Anas platyrhynchos platyrhynchos (common mallard). Its description in RNAcentral is "lncRNA (ENSAPLG00000022357.1)". The record is from RNAcentral. Lineage: Eukaryota; Metazoa; Chordata; Aves; Anseriformes; Anatidae.